CACCUCCAGCAUCCCUAGUAUUGGAGGCAUUGCCUGCCCAGUGACAACUGUUUAACGGCCGCGGUAUCCUGACCGUGCAAAGGUAGCAUAAUCAUUUGUUCUCUAAAUAAGGACUUGUAUGAAUGGCCACACGAGGGUUUUACUGUCUCUUACUUCCAAUCCGUGAAAUUGACCUUCCCGUGAAGAGGCGGGAAUACACAAAUAAGACGAGAAGACCCUAUGGAGCUUUAACUAACCAGCCCAAAGAAAAUAAACUUAACCAUUAAGGAGUAACAAUAAUCUCCAUGAGUUGGUAGUUUCGGUUGGGGUGACCUCGGAGAAUAAAAAAUCCUCCGAACGAUUUUAAAGACUAGACCCACAAGUCAAAUCAUUCAAUCGCUCAUUGAUCCAAAAACUUGAUCAACGGAACAAGUUACCCUAGGGAUAACAGCGCAAUCCUAUUCAAGAGUCCAUAUCGACAAUAGGGCUUACGACCUCGAUGUUGGAUCAGGACAUCCUGAUGGUGCAACCGCUAUCAAAGGUUCGUUUGUUCAACGAUUAAAGUCCUA
Molecule: ribosomal RNA, 548 nt
Filed under: Bos gaurus (gaur)
Lineage: Eukaryota; Metazoa; Chordata; Mammalia; Artiodactyla; Bovidae
Description: partial 16S ribosomal RNA
Rfam family: Bacterial large subunit ribosomal RNA
Source: RNAcentral